UACAAUAAGUGGGCUUCGAGAUCGACUGGGUUCCAGGCAACAAUUCAAUCAAGAACUCUACCUCACAUGGGGGAGGUAGACCAGGAAGUUCGAUGGGAAAGAUAUACAAAAAAUUACAAACAAUUGGUAUAGAACAUACAGCAAGAUCGGUGCCCAUAUUCCUGUUCAUUAAAAUUGUUAGGAAAAUGAUAACAAUAACUUUUAUUUCUUUUUCGGGGAUCAUAAGGUUACAAUUUUACUUUCAUAGUCUAUUAUACCUCUAUACUUUUCUAACCAUUCCAUUCCUAAUAUUACAUCAAAUCCUACAAAAUCUAAUAGUAUCAAGUUUACACAUACCUCUAUCCUUAAAGUUUUUAUCCUACAGUCCUUAUAUAC
RNAcentral lists this long non-coding RNA (375 nucleotides) under Carica papaya (papaya). RNAcentral's name for it is "long non-coding RNA (CPAP_LNC003092)". The record is from RNAcentral. Lineage: Eukaryota; Viridiplantae; Streptophyta; Magnoliopsida; Brassicales; Caricaceae.